AGUGAACGCUGGCGUCGUGCUUAACACAUGCAAGUCGAACGAGAACGGAAUAUAGCUUGCUAUAUUUGUCAGCUAAGUGGCGCACGGGUGAGUAAUGUAUAGAUAACCUGCCCUUAAGAAAGGAAUAACAGUUGGAAACGACUGCUAAUGCCCUAUAUGCCUUUAAUACAUAAGUAUGCAAGGGAAACGCUUUAGUGCUUAAGGAUGGGUCUGUCUGGUAUCAGCUUGUUGGUGAGGUAAUGGUUCACCAAGGCUAUGACGCCUAACUGGUUUGAGAGGAUGAUCAGUCACACUGGAACUGAGACACGGUCCAGACUCCUACGGGAGGCAGCAGUGGGGAAUAUUGCACAAUGGACGAAAGUCUGAUGCAGCAACGCCGCGUGGAGGAUGACACAUUUCGGUGCGUAAACUCCUUUUAUAUAGGAAGAUAAUGACGGUACUAUAUGAAUAAGCACCGGCUAACUCCGUGCCAGCAGCCGCCGUAA
Molecule: ribosomal RNA, 485 nt
Filed under: uncultured bacterium
Lineage: Bacteria
Description: partial 16S ribosomal RNA
Rfam family: Bacterial small subunit ribosomal RNA
Source: RNAcentral